GACGAACGCUGGCGGCGUGCUUAACACAUGCAAGUCGAACGGAAAGGCCCUGCUUUUGUGGGGUUCUCGGGUGGCGAACGGGUGAGUGACACGUGAGUAACCUGCCCUUGACUUUGGGAUAACUUCAGGAAACGAGGGCUACUACCGUAUAGGAGCUCCUGUUGCAGGGUGGGGAUUGGAAAGUUUCGGCGGUUGGGGAUGGACGCGCGGCUUAUCGGCUUGUUGGUGGGGUAGUGGCUUACCAAGGCUUUGACGGGUAGCCGGCAUGAGAGGGUGAACGGCCACAUUGGGCCUGAGAUACGGAGCAGUCUGCUACGGGAGGCAGUAGGCGGGAACAUUGCACAAUGGGCGGAAGCCUGAUGCAGAAACGUUGCGUGCGUGAUGACGGCUUUCGGGUUGUAAACAGCUUUAGCCUGUGACGAAGCGGGAGUGACGGUAAUGGGUAAAGAAGCACCGGCUAACUACGUG
RNAcentral lists this ribosomal RNA (468 nucleotides) under uncultured bacterium. RNAcentral describes it as "partial 16S ribosomal RNA". It matches the Rfam family "Bacterial small subunit ribosomal RNA", at positions 28 to 507 of the family's 1533-position model. The record is from RNAcentral.